CCUACGGGCGGCAGCAGUAAGGAAUAUUGGUCAAUGGACGAAAGUCUGAACCAGCCAUGCCGCGUGGAGGAUGAAGGUCCUCUGGAUUGUAAACUUCUUUUAUAUGGGACGAAAAAAGGCUUUUCUAAGUCGUCUGACGGUACCAUAUGAAUAAGCACCGGCUAACUCCGUGCCAGCCGCCGCGGUAAUACGGAGGGUGCAAGCGUUAUCCGGUUUCACUGGGUUGAAGGUGUGUGGGUAAGGGUUGGUAGAAAUCCCCGAGCUUAACUUGGGAACUGCCAUUGAUACUAUCAGUCUUGAAUACCGUGGAGGUCAGCGGAAUAUGUCAUGUAGCGGUGAAAUGCUUAGAUAUGACAUAGAACACCAAUUGCGAAGGCAGCUGGCUACCCGAAUAUUGACACUGAGGCACGAAAGCGUGGGGAUCAAACAGGAUUAGAUACCCCAGUAGUC
RNAcentral lists this ribosomal RNA (450 nucleotides) under uncultured bacterium. Its description in RNAcentral is "partial 16S ribosomal RNA". It matches the Rfam family "Bacterial small subunit ribosomal RNA", at positions 338 to 795 of the family's 1533-position model. The record is from RNAcentral.